This 360-nucleotide ribosomal RNA is filed under the name uncultured bacterium. RNAcentral describes it as "bacterial SSU rRNA". It matches the Rfam family "Bacterial small subunit ribosomal RNA", at positions 441 to 793 of the family's 1533-position model. The record is from RNAcentral.
AGUGAGGAAGGUGGGUAUGUUAAUAGCAUACUCAUUUGACGUUAGCUGCAGAAGAAGCACCGGCUAACUCCGUGCCAGCAGCCGCGGUAAUACGGAGGGUGCGAGCGUUAAUCGGAAUUACUGGGCGUAAAGCGCAUGCAGGUGGUUUUGUUAAGUCAGAUGUGAAAGCCCGGGGCUCAACCUCGGAAUUGCAUUUGAAACUGGCAAACUAGAGUACUGUAGAGGGGGUAGAAUUUCAGGUGUAGCGGUGAAAUGCGUAGAGAUCUGAAGGAAUACCGGUGGCGAAGGCGGCCCCCUGGACAGAUACUGACACUCAGAUGCGAAAGCGUGGGGAGCAAACAGGAUUAGAUACCCUGGUAG